This 315-nucleotide unclassified non-coding RNA is filed under the name plant metagenome. Its description in RNAcentral is "partial contains 5.8S ribosomal RNA, internal transcribed spacer 2, and large subunit ribosomal RNA". The stretch from base 1 to 105 matches the Rfam family "5.8S ribosomal RNA", at positions 50 to 154 of the family's 154-position model. The record is from RNAcentral.
GAACUGCGAUAAGUAAUGUGAAUUGCAGAAUUCAGUGAAUCAUCGAGUCUUUGAACGCACAUUGCGCCCCCUGGCAUUCCGGGGGGCAUGCCUGUCCGAGCGUCAUUGCUGCCCUCAAGCCCGGCUUGUGUGUUGGGUCGUCGUCCCCCCCGGGGGACGGGCCCGAAAGGCAGCGGCGGCACCGUGUCCGGUCCUCGAGCGUAUGGGGCUUUGUCACCCGCUCGAUUAGGGCCGGCCGGGCGCCAGCCGGCGUCUCCAACCUUAUUUUUCUCAGGUUGACCUCGGAUCAGGUAGGGAUACCCGCUGAACUUAGGC